RNAcentral lists this ribosomal RNA (1396 nucleotides) under uncultured bacterium. Its description in RNAcentral is "bacterial SSU rRNA". It matches the Rfam family "Bacterial small subunit ribosomal RNA". The record is from RNAcentral.
AGAGUUUGAUCCUGGCUCAGGACGAACGCUGGCGGCGUGCUUAACACAUGCAAGUCGAACGAGAAUUCUUGGAAUAGAAGCUUCGGUGGAAAAGACAAGAAGGAAAGUGGCGGACGGGUGAGUAACGCGUGAGCAACCUACCUUGUACAAAGGGAUAGCCUCGGGAAACCGGGAUUAAUACCAUAUGAGACCCCAAUAACGAGUGUUAAAGAGGUUAAAGAUUUAUCGGUAUAAGAUGGGCUCGCGUCUGAUUAGCUAGUUGGAGGGAUAAAAGCCCCCCAAGGCGACGAUCAGUAACCGGCUUGAGAGAGUGAACGGUCACAUUGGAACUGAGACACGGUCCAAACUCCUACGGGAGGCAGCAGUAAGGAAUAUUGCGCAAUGGGGGAAACCCUGACGCAGCAACACCGCGUGGAGGAUGACACUUUUCGGAGCGUAAACUCCUUUUGUUAGGAAAGAAUAAUGACGGUACCUAACGAAUAAGCACCGGCUAACUCCGUGCCAGCAGCCGCGGUAAUACGGGGGGUGCAAGCGUUACUCGGAAUCACUGGGCGUAAAGGACGCGUAGGCGGAUUAUCAAGUCUUGUGUGAAAUCUAGUGGCUUAACCACUAAACUGCAUAGGAAACUGAUAGUCUAGAGUAGGGGAGAGGUAGAUGGAAUUCUUGGUGUAGGGGUAAAAUCCGUAGAGAUCAAGAGGAAUACUUAUUGCGAAGGCGAUCUACUAGAACCUAACUGACGCUGAGGCGUGAAAGACGUGGGUAGCAAACAGGAAUAGAUACCCUGGUAGUCCACGCCCCAAACGAUGUAUACUAGUUGUUGCCUUGCAAGUCAAGGCAGUAAUGCAGCUAACGCACUAAGUAUACCGCCUGGGGAGUACGGUCGCAAGAUUAAAACUCAAAGGAAUAGACGGGGACCCGCACAAGCGGUGGAGCAUGCGGUUUAAUUCGAAGAUACGCGAAGAACCUUACCCGGACUUGAUAUCUAACAAAUCAUCCAGAGAUGGAAGAGUGUCUGUUUACAGAAAUGUUAAGACAGGUGCUGCACGGCUGUCGUCAGCUCGUGUCGUGAGAUGUUGGGUUAAGUCCCGCAACGAGCGCAACCCACGCGUUUAGUUGCUAACAGUUAGGCUGAGCACUCUAAACAGACUGCCUUCGUAAGGAGGAGGAAGGUGUGGACGACGUCAAGUCAUCAUGGCCCUUAUGUCCGGGGCGACACACGUGCUACAAUGGCAUAUACAGUAAGACGCAAUACCGCGAGGUGGAGCAAAUCUACAAAAUAUGUCUCAGUUCGGAUCGGAGCCUGCAACUCGGCUCCGUGAAGCCGGAAUCGCUAGUAAUCGUAGAUCAGCCAUGCUACGGUGAAUACGUUCCCGGGUCUUGUACUCACCGCCCGUCA